UCCCCGUUACCGGGGCAGUCUGAAUAGAAAAAUCCAACUAUUCAUAAGGGUUGCGCUCGUUAAUGGACUUAACCAAACAUCUCACGACACGAGCUGACGACGGCCAUGCAACACCUGUCACUAGGUUCCCGAAGGCACUCACUACUUUCGUAGUAAUUCCUAGGAUGUCAAACCCUGGUAAGGUUCUUCGCUUAGCAUCGAAUUAAACAACACGCUCCACCGCUUGUGCGGGUCCCCGCCAAUUCCUUUGAGUUUUAAUCUUGCGACCGUACUCCCCAGGCGGGAUGCUUAUCGCGUUAGCUUCGGCACGGCCGGAUUGGGUACCGGCCACACCAAGCAUCCAUAGUUUAGGGCUAGGACUAC
Molecule: unclassified non-coding RNA, 363 nt
Filed under: uncultured bacterium
Lineage: Bacteria
Description: contains 16S-23S intergenic spacer region
Source: RNAcentral